UAAAUCAAAACUUUCAACAACGGAUCUCUUGGUUCUGGCAUCGAUGAAGAACGCAGCAAAAUGCGAUAAGUAAUGUGAAUUGCAGAAUUCAGUGAAUCAUCGAAUCUUUGAACGCACAUUGCGCCCGCCAGUAUUCUGGCGGGCAUGCCUGUUCGAG
Molecule: ribosomal RNA, 157 nt
Filed under: Fusarium chlamydosporum
Lineage: Eukaryota; Fungi; Ascomycota; Sordariomycetes; Hypocreales; Nectriaceae
Also listed under: 3 other names
Description: 5.8S ribosomal RNA
Rfam family: 5.8S ribosomal RNA
About the family: 5.8S ribosomal RNA (5.8S rRNA) is a component of the large subunit of the eukaryotic ribosome. It is transcribed by RNA polymerase I as part of the 45S precursor that also contains 18S and 28S rRNA.
Source: RNAcentral